This is a long non-coding RNA of Rhinolophus ferrumequinum (greater horseshoe bat), 1675 nucleotides long. RefSeq lists it as uncharacterized. The record is from RefSeq and is a predicted model, not a curated record. NCBI's taxonomy places the organism in Eukaryota, Metazoa, Chordata, Mammalia, Chiroptera, Rhinolophidae. The transcript is spliced from 2 exons.
CCAUUAGCUACUGCACAGGGUAGCCUUCCUCUCUCACAAAGACAUUUGUUCACUGUCGCACGGCUGGCUUCCCUAGCAAUUUCCUACCAAUGCAGUUUGACUCAAUCUGGAAGGUGGGGAGCUGGCAAAGCCAUUGGAGUAGGCGGCUGUUAUUCCCGUGCUGGUGGGAAAACUGAGGCACAAAGAUAGCUCGACCCAGGACCUGCAGAAGGGCCUGGACACCCGUGUAAGGAUUAAUCCGCUGGUUGUGACAAUGUGGGCCUCUUCUAGAAGCUCACUCUGGAUUCAACCUCCCACUGCAGCCAGAAGCGUACGAUCAACCAAAGCCGAGGCCAGGGUCUAACUCAGGAAGGACUCCAGGAGCACAAUGAACAGCACCGAUUUCUUCUGUGGAGACGAUCGCCCUUGGGUAUGAUUGGCACAUGGUCCGUGCCAGUGCCUGACCUUCCAGAUUCCCAAGCAAAUCUUCAUAAAACUCAAAAUGCACCCGGCAGAGGAAUGCCAUCCCCUCUGUGAAUGGAUUAUGUCUCCACCAGACAGGUCUGCACAAUGGACGUGGAGUCUGUCUGUGAAUUGUAAGACCCUGAUGGUGAGAAUUGCAUCCAUUUAAUCUUCGUAGUUGGGUUCACCUUACCUAAAAAUGAAAAUGACCUCCCUGGUUCCUGGGUAGGAAGAAAGGAGGCAAGAAGAACCUGGGCUAAUCUAGCAAUUGCCUAGGGCUUUUGCAGUUGCAGAAGCAUUGUGCUUUGAGAUACCACAGCCCUGAAGUAUCUGCCUGAAUUUCUGGAGACCCAACAGAAGUCUUGGCAGGAUGGAGGACAUUUUUUGGAUCUAGUUCCCAAAACUAUAGCUGUGAGUUCCAGGGCGAUAAUUAGGUAUUAAUGCAGCUAGGGAUUGUUGUUAAUCAAUUUCUGCAAACUUGUUUAGAUGUAACUGGGAAUUUUUAUUAACGAAUGCAUGCAAGCUUACAAAUCGCUUACUGGUAUUAAUAACUCACGUGCGUGAAUGCGGUUGCUUUGUUUAUAAGAACAUGCCUGACUCCCUGGAGCUCUGAGGACGAGUGUGCAACACAACCAGCUGUUCAACACCAGGCACUGCUUCCUUCCGAGCAGAAUAUCGCCUUUGCUUGAGAGGUUAAAAAUCAACAGCAGGGCCUGACGAGAAACAUGGACAAUAAAUGAAACGUCAGGACUAAUCUCUUAUGUGACACCUGCUGAUCUCAAGAGGGUUCAGCUGCUGGGACUACACAGUGGUUCAUGAUGGUUCUGGGCUAAAACCAAAAGUCAAGGGUAAGAACCUACAAGUGGGACCAGAUGGUGAUUCAAGAUACGUAUAUUAAGUUGAGGGAAAACAACAGCGUGCGUUUCAUAAGGAUGUACACAAGAGUGGCCGGGGCAUUGUGUGUCUCCUAAUACGAGGUACUUGCAAGUUUACAGCAACACUCCCUAAGAAACACUCUUGCCAUAGAGAAUUCAACCUGGGUUUCAUCAAGCCUCUGGAUAUGACUACCAGUGUACAGGAAAUCCAGGAGAUAGAGGAACAUACUAAACAACAUUCUGAAGAAGGACGAAGCCAAAUUCAGAAAAUGGGAAAUUCUGUGGGACAAAGGACUUGAUUCCUUCAAUAAAGAAAUGACAAUAUAGAAAACACAGAAGAGAAGAAACUAGUAUAGAUU